UAUCAGCUUGUUGGUGGGGUAACGGCCCACCUAGGCGAUGACGGGUAGCUGGUCUGAGAGGACGACCAGCCACACGGGGACUGAGACACGGCCCCGACUCCUACGGGAGGCAGCAGUGGGGAAUCUUCCGCAAUGGGCGAAAGCCUGACGGAGUGACGCCGCGUGGGGGAUGAAGGCCUUCGGGUCGUAAACCCCUGUCAGAGGGAAAGAAGAGCGUCGGCGCGAUAACCGUCGGCGCUUGACGGUACCUUCAGAGGAAGCCCCGGCCAACUCUGUGCCAGCAGCCGCGGUAAGACAGAGGGGGCAAGCGUUGCUCGGAAUUACUGGGCGUAAAGGGCGCGUAGGCGGGAUGGCGAGUCGGUCGUGAAAUCCUUCGGCUCAACCGGAGAAAGUCGACCGAUACUGCUGUCCUUGAGGGUUGCAGAGGAGACUGGAAUUCCCGGUGUAGCGGUGAAAUGUGUAGAGAUCGGGAGGAACACCGGUGGCGAAGGCGGGUCUCUGGGCAACUCCUGACGCUGAGGCGCGAAAGCGUGGGGAGCAAACGGGAUUAGAUACCCCGGUAGUCCACGCUGUAAACGAUGGGCACUAGGUGUGGGGGGGGUCAGUCCUCUCCGUGCGCAGCUACGCAUUAGUGCCCCCCUGGGGA
This 646-nucleotide ribosomal RNA is filed under the name uncultured bacterium. RNAcentral describes it as "bacterial SSU rRNA". It matches the Rfam family "Bacterial small subunit ribosomal RNA", at positions 239 to 879 of the family's 1533-position model. The record is from RNAcentral.